This 166-nucleotide ribosomal RNA is filed under the name uncultured bacterium. Its description in RNAcentral is "partial 16S ribosomal RNA". It matches the Rfam family "Bacterial small subunit ribosomal RNA", at positions 355 to 512 of the family's 1533-position model. The record is from RNAcentral.
UAGGGAAUCUUCGGCAAUGGACGAAAGUCUGACCGAGCAACGCCGCGUGAGUGAAGAAGGUUUUCGGAUCGUAAAACUCUGUUGGUAGAGAAGAACGUUGGUGAGAGUGGAAAGCUCAUCAAGUGACGGUAACUACCCAGAAAGGGACGGCUAACUACGUGCCAAG